RNAcentral lists this ribosomal RNA (358 nucleotides) under uncultured bacterium. RNAcentral describes it as "bacterial SSU rRNA". It matches the Rfam family "Bacterial small subunit ribosomal RNA", at positions 29 to 416 of the family's 1533-position model. The record is from RNAcentral.
AAUGAACGCUGGCGGCAGGCCUAAAACAUGCAAGUCGAACGCUGUAGCAAUACAGAGUGGCGCACGGGUGAGUAACAUGUGGGAAUAUGCCUUUUGGUACGGAACAACGUUUGGAAACGAACGCUAAUGCCGUAUGGUCCCUUCGGGGUAAAGAUUUAUCGCCAAAAGAUUAGCCCGCACUGGAUUAGCUAGUUGGUAGGGUAAUGGCCUACCAAGGCGACGAUCCAUAGCUGGCUGAGAGGACGAUCAGCCACACUGGGACUGAGACACGGCCAGACUCCUACGGGAGGCAGCAGUUAGGAAUAUUGGACAAUGGGCGCAAGCCUGAUCCAGCCAUGCCGCGUGAGUGAUGAAGGCC